RNAcentral lists this ribosomal RNA (492 nucleotides) under uncultured bacterium. Its description in RNAcentral is "partial 16S ribosomal RNA". It matches the Rfam family "Bacterial small subunit ribosomal RNA", at positions 29 to 507 of the family's 1533-position model. The record is from RNAcentral.
AGUGAACGCUGGCGGUAGGCCUAACACAUGCAAGUCGAACGGCAGCACAGUAAGAGCUUGCUCUUACGGGUGUCGAGUGGCGGACGGGUGAGGAAUACAUCGGAAUCUACUUUUUCGUGGGGGAUAACGUAGGGAAACUUACGCUAAUACCGCAUACGACCUACGGGUGAAAGCAGGGGAUCUUCGGACCUUGCGCGAUUGAAUGAGCCGAUGUCGGAUUCGCUCGUUGGCGGGGUAAAGGCCCACCAAGGCGACGAUCCGUAGCUGGUCUGAGAGGAUGAUCAGCCACACUGGAACUGAGACACGGCCCAGACUCCUACGGGAGGAAGCAGUGGGGAAUAUUGGACAAUGGGCGCAAGCCUGAUCCAGCCAUACCGCGUGGGUGAAGAAGGCCUUCGGGUUGUAAAGCCAUUUUGUUGGGAAAGAAAAGCAGCAGGUUAAUACCCCGCUGUUCUGACGGUACCCAAAGAAUAAGCACCGGCUAACUUCGUG